GCUGUGAUGGCCGAGUGGUUAAGGCGUUGGACUCGAAAUCCAAUGGGGUUUCCCCGCGCAGGUUCAAACCCUGCUCGCAGCG
Molecule: transfer RNA, 82 nt
Filed under: Hemibagrus wyckioides
Lineage: Eukaryota; Metazoa; Chordata; Actinopteri; Siluriformes; Bagridae
Rfam family: tRNA
About the family: Transfer RNA (tRNA) molecules are approximately 80 nucleotides in length.
Source: Rfam by way of RNAcentral